Molecule: long non-coding RNA, 799 nt
Organism: Chinchilla lanigera (long-tailed chinchilla)
Lineage: Eukaryota; Metazoa; Chordata; Mammalia; Rodentia; Chinchillidae
Exons: 5
Source: RefSeq, a predicted model, not a curated record
CGUCUUGUCUUCUAUCGCUUGAAUCUGCUUCAGUGAAAGGACAAAAAUAACACAGCAGAGGCUUGGAAAGUUCUUGGGCAGUGUACCUGCCUGCCUCUGUCCUGCUGAGAACCCUGAUCCUACCUGCUGGAAAGGUCACACAGAAAAGAAAGGAGAUACCCUGGCUGACAGUCUGCCAACCUCACAACACGAGUGAGGGAAUUAUACACCAUCCUGCCUCAGGCAAGCCACACACUGUCUGCACCUUUAUGAGCAAGCCCAGUGCUGCAGUCAGGUUGUUCAGGAAUACCUGUCAACUGCGGCAGUAGAGCAGGAAGCUCUCUAAGUGAAGAACACAUCACCUCACCCUGUGAUGCAGGAGGAGCAGGUCAGUGUGUGAGCUGCCUGGCUCCCUCCUCGCUGACCCCACCUCAAGGAAAUGCCAGGACACAGCACCGGCACCCCCCCCCAGGAGGCAGCACUGAGGUGCCAUCUUGGAAGCAGAAAGCAGCCCUCGUCAGAUGCCGGACCUGAGUGUAUCUUGGUCUUCAGGUUCCCAGACUCCAGAACUAUGAAGUGGACAAGAAUAGCAAAGGACGCCCUCCCAGAGACAGAUGGAAAUAAAAGAUACAUGCAGACAGCGCAGACACAGAUGAUGGAGAACUCAUUACUGACAUCACGCAAGCUCCCUGGCCCAGCCUUUUUCCAAGGCCAAGAGGAGUAUGGUCUCAAGGUGCAUCCCUUCAGCUAGAAAUGUCUCAAGUGUACCCUACUUUAUGGCCUACUUCGGGGAAUAAAAUAAAAUGAAGUCAAACAUAAA